RNAcentral lists this ribosomal RNA (467 nucleotides) under uncultured bacterium. Its description in RNAcentral is "bacterial SSU rRNA". It matches the Rfam family "Bacterial small subunit ribosomal RNA", at positions 337 to 796 of the family's 1533-position model. The record is from RNAcentral.
UCCUACGGGAGGCAGCAGUGGGGAAUAUUGCGCAAUGGGGGGAACCCUGACGCAGCCAUGCCGCGUGAAUGAAGAAGGCCUUCGGGUUGUAAAGUUCUUUCGGUAAUGAGGAAGGGAUGUUGUUAAAUAGAUAGCAUCAUUGACGUUAAUUACAGAAGAAGCACCGGCUAACUCCGUGCCAGCAGCCGCGGUAAUACGGAGGGUGCGAGCGUUAAUCGGAAUAACUGGGCGUGAAGGGCACGCAGGCGGACUUUUAAGUGAGAUGUGAAAUCCCCGAGCUUAACUUGGGAACUGCAUUUCAGACUGGGAGUCUAGAGUACUUUAGGGAGGGGUAGAAUUCCACGUGUAGCGGUGAAAUGCGUAGAGAUGUGGAGGAAUACCGAAGGCGAAGGCAGCCCCUUGGGAAUGUACUGACGCUCAUGUGCGAAAGCGUGGGGAGCAAACAGGAUUAGAUACCCUGGUAGUCC